UGAGUANCNCGAUAGCCAACCUGCCGUCUACUNCUUGNACUGCGCGUUCUGAAAGGAAGAUUAANACAUAGAUGGCAUCAUGAGUCCGCAUGUUCACAUGAUUAAAGGUAUUCCGGUAGACGAUGGGGAUGCGUUCCAUUAGAUAGUAGGCGGGGUAACGGCCCACCUAGUCUUCGAUGGAUAGGGGUUCUGAGAGGAAGGUCCCCCACAUUGGAACUGAGACACGGUCCAAACUCAUACGGGAGGCAGCAGUGAGGAAUAUUGGUCAAUGGGCGAGAGCCUGAACCAGCCAAGUAGCGUGAAGGAUGACUGCCCUAUGGGUUGUAAACUUCUUUUAUAAAGGAAUAAAGUCGGGUAUGCAUACCCGUUUGCAUGUACUUUAUGAAUAAGGAUCGGCUAACUCCGUGCCAGCAGCCGCGGUAAUACGGAGGAUCCGAGCGUUAUCCGGAUUUAUUGGGUUUAAAGGGAGCGUAGAUGGAUGUUUAAGUCAGUUGUGAAAGUUUGCGGCUCAACCGUAAAAUUGCAGUUGAUACUGGAUAUCUUGAGUGCAGUUGAGGCAGGCGGAAUUUCGUGGUGUAGCGGUGAAAUGCUUAGAUAUCACGAAGAACUCCGAUUGCGAAGGCAGCCUGCUAAGCUGCAACUGACAUUGAGGCUCGAAAGUGUGGGUAUCAAACAGGAUUAGAUACCCUGGUAGUCCACACGGUAAACGAUGAAUACUCUCUGUUUGCGAUAUACGGCAAGCGGCCAAGCGAAAGCGUUUAAGUAUUCCACCUGGGGAGUACGCCGGCNAACGGUGAAACUCAAAAGGAAUUUGACNGGGGGCCCGCACAAGCGGAGGAACAUGUGGUUUAAUUCGANUGAUACNGCGAGGAACCUUACCCGGGCUUAAAUUGCAGAUGAAUUACGGUGAAAGCCGUAAGCCGCAAGGCAUCUGUGAAGGUGCUGCAUGGUUGUCGUCAGCUCGUGCCGUGAGGUGUCGGCUUAAGUGCCAUAACGAGCGCAACCCUUGUUGUCAGUUACUAACAGGUNAUGCUGAGGACUCUGACAAGACUGCCAUCGUAAGAUGUGAGGAAGGUGGGGAUGACGUCAAAUCAGCACGGCCCUUACGUCCGGGGCUACACACGUGUUACAAUGGGGGGUACAGAGGGCCGCUACCACGCGAGUGGAUGCCAAUCCCAAAAACCUCUCUCAGUUCGGACUGGAGUCUGCAACCCGACUCCACGAAGCUGGAUUCGCUAGUAAUCGCGCAUCAGCCACGGCGCGGUGAAUACGUUCCCGGGCCUUGUACACACCGCCCGUCAAGCCAUGGGAGCCGGGGGUACCUGAAGUGCGUAACC
Molecule: ribosomal RNA, 1337 nt
Rfam family: Bacterial small subunit ribosomal RNA